This 702-nucleotide long non-coding RNA is filed under the name Marmota monax (woodchuck). Lineage: Eukaryota; Metazoa; Chordata; Mammalia; Rodentia; Sciuridae. The record is from RNAcentral.
GUCCCAUCUCCCUCCCAGGCAGUCUCUCUCACAUACACAGAGAGGCGCUCACACAUUCCGCAUCAAGACACACAGACAACCAUGCUGCUUUGCCGUCACGCACCCGCGGGCCUGAGACUCCGGCAACAGGCCAACUACGUUAGGGACUUGCACGCUUUAAGGGCUUCCUCUGCCACUCCGGCCGAUUGAGGCCGGACUCCAAUUUAAUCCGGUUUCCCAGGCUCCUGACCGAGAGCACUCUUGGCCUAUAAAUAUCCUGGGAUGAAUUCACCUCACCUUGAGAAGCACAAAAACCAAGCAAAAAUGAAAGCGAAGCCAUAGAUUGAGCGUGCCCAUUGCCCGCUGGGAAAUGUAGUUCAAGUCCGCUUAACGCUGGCCGCGGUGGCUUGUGGGAAAAGUAGGCCCGCGCCCGAAAUUCUCCCGGGAUUCGACGCCCGUUGUAAGGACCACAGUGCGCCGGAUCCCUGAGAUUUUUGUUCUCUCUAUGCUAGCAAUACGCAGAUGCAAAGACGUGUUGCUCUGGCCCAGACGUUUGAGAAAAGCACGUGUCCGAUGUGUCCUAGGAGGUCCAGAAAAUGCCGGGGGACCCAGUUUCCCAAAGCUUCUGGCCUGAUUGCGAAGAGCAGGCUCUGGAAGGGUCACUAGUAUGAUCACGAAGGCGAGCGCCCUAGGAUUACAGGUCUGAGCUACCAAGAGACUAAG